UACGUAGGGGGCUAGCGUUGUCCGGAAUCAUUGGGCGUAAAGAGCGUGUAGGCGGUCCGGUGAGUCCGCUGUGAAAGUCGGGGGCUCAACCCUCGAAUGCCGGUGGAUACUGUCGGGCUAGAGUGCGGAAGAGGCGAGUGGAAUUCCUGGUGUAGCGGUGAAAUGCGCAGAUAUCAGGAGGAACACCUAUUGCGAAGGCAGCUCGCUGGGACGUAACUGACGCUGAGGUGCGAAAGCGUGGGGAGCAAACAGG
This 253-nucleotide ribosomal RNA is filed under the name uncultured bacterium. Its description in RNAcentral is "partial 16S ribosomal RNA". It matches the Rfam family "Bacterial small subunit ribosomal RNA", at positions 524 to 776 of the family's 1533-position model. The record is from RNAcentral.